RNAcentral lists this ribosomal RNA (459 nucleotides) under uncultured bacterium. Its description in RNAcentral is "bacterial SSU rRNA". It matches the Rfam family "Bacterial small subunit ribosomal RNA", at positions 32 to 521 of the family's 1533-position model. The record is from RNAcentral.
AAUCAACGCUGGCGGCGCGCUUAACACAUGCAAGUCGAACGAGAAAGGGAGCAAUCCUGAGUAAAGUGGCGUACUGGUGAGUAACACGUGGAUAUCUACCUCUUGGUGGGGAAUAACCUGGGGAAACCUGGGCUAAUACCGCAUAAGUUCGUGAGAAGAAAGGCGCAAGUCGCCGAGAGAGGAGUCCGCGGUCGAUUAGGUAGUUGGCAGGGUAAAAGCCUACCAAGCCGAAGAUCGAUAGCCGGCCUGAGAGGGCACACGGCCACACUGGCACUGAAACACGGGCCAGACUCCUACGGGAGGCAGCAGUGGGGAAUCUUGCACAAUGGGGGAAACCCUGAUGCAGCGACGCCGCGUGAGCGGUGAAGCCCUUCGGGGGUGUAAAGCUCUUUCGGCAGGAACGAUAAUGACGGUACCUGCAGAAGAAGCUGCGGCUAACUACGUGCCAGCAGCCGCGGU